UACGUAGGCAGCAAGCGUUGUUCGGAGUUACUGGGCGUAAAGGGUGCGUAGGCGGCGCGGUAAGUCGGGUGUGAAAUCUCGGGGCCUAACUCCGAAACUGCAUUCGAUACUGCCGUGCUUGAGGACUGGAGAGGAGACUGGAAUUUACGGUGUAGCGGUGAAAUGCGUAGAUAUCGUAAGGAAGACCAGUGGCGAAGGCGGGUCUCUGGACAGUUCCUGACGCUGAGGCACGAAGGCCAGGGGAGCAAACGGG
This 253-nucleotide ribosomal RNA is filed under the name uncultured bacterium. Its description in RNAcentral is "partial 16S ribosomal RNA". It matches the Rfam family "Bacterial small subunit ribosomal RNA", at positions 524 to 776 of the family's 1533-position model. The record is from RNAcentral.